Osmerus eperlanus (European smelt) is the source of this 314-nucleotide long non-coding RNA. RefSeq lists it as uncharacterized. The transcript is spliced from 4 exons. The record is from RefSeq and is a predicted model, not a curated record. Lineage: Eukaryota; Metazoa; Chordata; Actinopteri; Osmeriformes; Osmeridae.
UGUAAAUCGUGUGUGUUUGUGGAUGUGUGUGAGUGUGUGUGGGUCGGGGGGGUCUGGAGGCUGCACCUGGCUACUCACACACACACACGCACACACACUCACACAUACCAGAGCGGGUCCGACAGCAGCAAGAGGAGUACUCCGGAAAGCGCACCACAGAGGCACUGAGAUCAAGACUGAACCAGCUGGAGAGCAGCUCCUAAGAUGGACAAGGACUUUGACGCAGACUUUGUCUAUGACUACUACACCCUGAGGGUCGGUGGUUUGACCUUCGCUGGGGUCAUCGUGUUCCUCUCAGUUAUCCUGCUGGCCGG